UGAUCGGUGCUUGCACCGAGAUUCAACAGGGAACGAGUGGCGGACGGGGGAGGAACACGUGGGUAACCUGCCCUUAAGUGGGGGAUAACAUUUGGAAACAGAUGCUAAUACCGCAUAGAUCCAAGAACCGCAUGGUUCUUGGCUGAAAGAUGGCGUAAGCUAUCGCUUUUGGAUGGACCCGCGGCGUAUUAGCUAGUUGGUGAGGUAAUGGCUCACCAAGGCGAUGAUACGUAGCCGAACUGAGAGGUUGAUCGGCCACAUUGGGACUGAGACACGGCCCAAACUCCUACGGGAGGCAGCAGUAGGGAAUCUUCCACAAUGGACGCAAGUCUGAUGGAGCAACGCCGCGUGAGUGAAGAAGGCUUUCGGGUCGUAAAACUCUGUUGUUGGAGAAGAAUGGUCGGCAGAGUAACUGUUGUCGGCGUGACGGUAUCCAACCAGAAAGCCACGGCUAACUACGUGCCAGCAGCCGCGG
RNAcentral lists this ribosomal RNA (475 nucleotides) under Lacticaseibacillus paracasei. RNAcentral describes it as "bacterial SSU rRNA". It matches the Rfam family "Bacterial small subunit ribosomal RNA", at positions 70 to 520 of the family's 1533-position model. The record is from RNAcentral. Lineage: Bacteria; Bacillati; Bacillota; Bacilli; Lactobacillales; Lactobacillaceae.